Molecule: long non-coding RNA, 4183 nt
Filed under: Homo sapiens (human)
Lineage: Eukaryota; Metazoa; Chordata; Mammalia; Primates; Hominidae
Description: HSALNT0305767
Source: RNAcentral
AUUACUUCAGUUAUAUCGUUAGGCUUUGUGUCUCCACCCAAAUCUCAUCUUGAAUUGUUGAGGGAGAUACCUGGUGGGAGAUGAUUGGCAAUUUCCCCCAUGAUGUUCUCACAAUUGUUAGUGAGUUCUCAUGAGAUCUGAUGGUUUUAUAAGGGGCUCUUUCCCCUUGGUUUCCUUCAUUGGCUCUCUCGCCUGCUGCCGUAGACGUGCCUGCUACACCUUCUGCCAUAAUUGUGCUCAAGCUUAUAAUACCAGCACUUUGGGAGACUGAGGCGGGCAGAUUGCCUGAGCUCAGGAUUUCGAGACCAGCCUGGCCAACAUGGUGAAACCCCAUCUCUACUAAAAAAAUACAAAAAAAUUAGGCGGGCGUGGUGGCAUGUGUCUGUAGUCCCAGCUACUUGGGAGGCUGAGGUGGAGAAUCGCUUGAACCGGGAGGUGGAGGUUGCAGUGAGCCGAGAUCACACCACUGCAUUCCAGGCUGGUGAGAGAGCAAGACUCCAUCUCAAAAAAAAAAAAAAAAAAAAAAAAGAAUUUAUGUCCUUUGCAGCAACAUGGAUGCAGCUAGAGGCCACUAUUCUAAGCAAAUUAACACAUGAACAGAAAACCAAAUACCUCAUAUUCUGACUUACACAUGGGAGCUAAACAUAGGGUACUUAUGGACAUAAAGAUAGCAACAAUAGCCACUGGGAACUACUAGAGUGGAGAGGGAAGGAAGAGAGUAAGGGUUGAAAAACUACCUAUUGGAUACUGAGAGGUGAAGCCAGCUGGACUUCCUGGGUCGAGUGGGGACCUGGAGAACUUUUCUGUCUAGCUAAAGGAUUGUAAAUGCACCAAUCAGCACUCUGUAAAAACGCACCAAUCAGCGCUCUGUGUCUAGCUAAAGGAUUGUAAACACACCAAUCACCACUCUGUAAUACUCGCAGCAAAGGUCCACGAAGGUCUGUGGCUUCACUCCUGAAGUCAGCAAGACCACAAACCCAUCGGAAGAAAGAAACUCCAGACACAUCUGAACAUCAGAAGGAACAAACUCUGGACACACCAUCUUUAAGAGCUGUAACACUCACCAUGAGGGCCCGUGGCUUCACUCUUGAAGUCAGCAAGACGAAGAACCCACCAGAAGGAGUAAAUUCCGGACACAAUACUAUGCUCAGUACCUGGGUGAUAGGAUCAAUCAUUUCAAACUUCAGCAUCAUGCUGUAUACCCAUGUAACAAGCCUGCAUAAGUACCUCCUGAAUCUAAAAUAAAAGUUGAAAUUAUUAAAAAAAGAAUAGAAUAAAAUAAACAUCAAUGACAAUAACCACUUGUCUCACAUCUCACCAGUACCAUCUAUUUUUUUCAUUAUUGUUUUUUAAACCUAUGUCAGCUUAAUAGGUGAAAAAUACUUUUGAAAAAAACAUUCAUGCAUUUGAGCUAGAACAUUUUUUCCAAGUGCCUAUUAAUAAGUUAUUUAAAUAUCUAUUUCCUAUAGUCAUAGAUUCGUUUAAAGUUUCUUUGUAGUAGUGCUCUUAUAUAUUUAAUUUUACAUCUUGAUUUUAAAAACAAUAGUUUAACAUAACACCACUUUGUAUGUGAACUCAAAUAAGCUUAAUUUUCACUGCUAUGUAACUGCCUUUUUGUGGUUAUAUAACAGAUUACUGAAUUAUUUCUCUGAUACUAAGCAUUUUAUUGUCUUUUCUUACACACACACAUACACAUAUGCCAGCAAUGACAAUAAUGCUCUUGUCAUGAAACUAUGUCUACGUUUAAGUUAUUUAUCUAGAAAGAUGACUAGAAAUGAAAAUGCUGAUGCUAAAAUAUGAAUUUUUCUCUAUGCUUAACGCAACUUACCUUCCAAAAGGCUUGUAUUAUAUUAAUUCCCCCAUUUCCUCCAAAUCCUCCAUUUCCCCCAAAUCUUGAGUGCUUUGAAUAUUACCCUUUUAAAAUGAAAAUACACGUGUAUUCUUAAUGACAAGUAAAUCAACUGGUCUAAAGAAACCUACAAGAGAGACCUGCACCACUGCGUUACACUGUGUGUAACCAACCAGCAGAUUGUUUGCGGCUUUACACCCUGUCUCUGCUCAGGGCAGAGUCCACGCUUGUGCUGCUCACACUGACCACACACUACGCUGCACGGCUUCUGAGGAGAUGGUCAGUCCUAGGAUGUGAUGUGCCUUCUAUCAGUGGCUGGUUCUGGACACCUGCUUCCAGUGCCAUGCUCUAAACAAGGAAUGCAUUUUCCCAGUGGCAUGGGUAGCUUUAGGCAGUGUGCCAAGCAUAUCCUGGUACUGGCUCCCCCCAGAAUACAGCACAUACAAACUGAAGGUAAGGGACAAAAGGGCCCUUCUUCCAGAUCAUUCUAAAACCUGUUCUUGGAGUUUCCUGCCACAGCCUCCACAGUGAUCUCCACAUGUCCAGCAACAAGAAGAGAAGGAAAAAAUCAACCACAUGCUUCACCACAGAGCACCCCUGAAUGGACCCUGGAGCUGGGGCAGAAAAGUGUUCAUCAGAAGAAAACAGCCUUUCAUCAGAGACAGUGCCCUGAGAGACACGUGUUCACCCCGUUUUCUGCAACUUAGAGUAACAUUUGCUACAAAUGUGCUGAAGAGCAUCUUCAGAGGAAAGAGCAGUGUGGCUGAGCACCAUGCACAGCCUAAUUGGAAGAGUAUUUCUGGAAGAGUACACCAUAUGCUUUACAUUUGCAUCCCGUCUAUAAAUAUCCCAGGAACAACUUGAGUCCAUAAAUACUGUAUUCAGAAUGCUUUGCUGGAAACAUCUUUCACUGCUCAGUCGUCUGUUUACCAAUGUGACUGUUCCUUGCCCCACUCGUCAUGCAGAAUCAUCCCCAAGGUCGGAGUCAUGUUGGGAAGCGAGUGGGUGCCACAGAGCCAAGGGUGGCCGGGCAGCCUCUCCUCUGUGCCAUUUGCUUUGGUCUUCUUCCCCAUCCAGCUCUCAGGCCACCUCCAGGUGGAAAGUGACAGAGGAUACCUCCUUAGCAAAAGCCUGGAUAAGAACACAUGGAAUCUUUAAUGAAACCCUAAAGAGACUGCAAUAAGGGAAGAGCCCUGUGCAUUUGCAGAGCUAACCUUUAUCCAGGGUAUCCAUGUGCCAUGGACAGUGCAGGAGCUGUCUUCACUGUGAAUCUGUUCUGCUGGAAUUAUGUUUAUUCUGCCAAUGAGAAACCAGGACUUGACAAGAUUAAGAAUCUCACCUUAUGAACAAGCCAGGAUUCUAACCUGGAGUUUAUAUCAAGCCACACUCAUAACAGGUGGCGAGACUGGCAAAACCCGAAGUAUGUCUAUCCAUCUGCCAAAGGAUUAGGAAUCACCACUAUUUGCGGUUCGAAAAAGUGACUUUAUAAGCACACUCUUAUUCUCUACUUAGAGUUCCUAGGAAAGGGAUUUGGGAGAGAUGUCAGUGGCUCUAUUUUUCAGGCAAGAAAUGUGAGGCUCAGAGAGACUUACAGAUACACAGUUGGUAGAGAGUAGAUUUAGGAGUUGAAUUUUGAUUUGCCAACUUCUAUUUCAAUGUCCUUUCCACAUGCUUAGGACACAGAUGUUAUUUGGGAGGAGUAAAUAAUCAAGCCCUGACCAGCCCGUAGCAUCUGAGAACACAUCCAGGAGUCAGGUCGGCUUUCAGGCCCCAUGCUCUGUGCAUGGGGCGCUGGGUUUGGGCCGCUUUGGAGGUCAGCAGGUGUGAAAGCCAAAAGCCUGUGGCAUGGAGUUCUACCAAGAGCAGGCAGCCCCACAGAGGGAACGUGCUAGGAACCUUCUAGAUGCCUGGGGAGAGGUCCAAGUGGAAGAAAAAAAGGGGACAUAAAGAACGAUUUGUCGAGUUAACCCUGUAGUAUUUUCCACUCUCCACAACUGAAGCUCUGGGAUGGCAGGGGCAGUCUGCCUCCUUCACUCCAGCAUGCCACCUGUGGUACAGUCACUUCUGAACGCAUGAAUGAGGCAAACCCUGUGAGACCCACAUGCUGCCCGACAGCCACUGGGUGCUGCAUGUCACAGCACCGCAGAGUGUCAGGGCUAAAGUGUUUGCCAUGGCCACAGGCAGGGGCCAGAGACCAGACGGCAACGCUGCGGGGCAGCAUCACCCCAGGGGAGGCCUGAGGCCAGCACACACCGGGUCAGGAGGAGCCUCGACUACCCUUGCAAAAGUAAACAGCGGCUGGGCACGGUGGCUCAUGCCUGUAAUCCCAGCACU